GGCGACCGGCAAACGGGUGAGGAACACGUACACAACCUUCCUUCAAGGCGGGAAUAGCCCAGAAGUAAAUUUGGAUUUAAACUACCCCAUAAUAUAUUUGAUAAGGCAUCUUAUUAAUAUUAAAGCUUCGGCACUUGAUGAUGGGUGUGCGGCUGAUUAGAUAGUUGGCGGGUAACGGCCCACCAAGUCUACGAUCAGUAGCUGGUGUGAGAGCAUGAUCAGCCACACGGGCACUGAGACACGGGCCCGACUCCUACGGGAGGCAGCAGUAAGGAAUAUUGGACAAUGGACGAAAGUCUGAUCCAGCCAUGCCGCGUGAAGGAUUAAGGUCCUCUGGAUUGUAAACUUCUUUUAUAUGGGACGAAAAAGGGCAUUCUUGUUCACUUGACGGUACCAUAUGAAUAAGCACCGGCUAACUCCGUG
This 423-nucleotide ribosomal RNA is filed under the name uncultured bacterium. RNAcentral's name for it is "bacterial SSU rRNA". It matches the Rfam family "Bacterial small subunit ribosomal RNA", at positions 90 to 507 of the family's 1533-position model. The record is from RNAcentral.